AAUUUACAGUAAGAUACCUAAAAAGCCGGAGAAGGAUAUAUAUUCAGUAACGGUAAAAGAAAAUAUACUGCAUAUUCUAAUGCACUCAAUAGCAUCACCUAACACUGACGGAUGAAUAAAAUAUAUCUAAGGCCUUAGAAGUAAUUGAAUCACUGCAUGGGUUGACCAGAAGAUCCUGUAAAGAGAUAUAUUAAUGAGCACCAUACUGUUUCAAAAUAUGGCAAGUGUGUGCAGCAGGUAAGUCCACAGAGGCUACAAGAGACCAGAUUAACUGCAAAACUCGUCUUAUGGUGAAAAGGUUCAUUGAAAGACUUUUGAUUUCAUUGAGCUGGAAAUCUGAAAAUGUAAAGCAGAAAUCAAGGGCGAAAGUAAGCAUAAAAAUCAACGAUUUUACAGUUUUAGAAUAAUUAAAUUCU
Long non-coding RNA from Rhodamnia argentea, 416 nucleotides. RefSeq lists it as uncharacterized. NCBI's taxonomy places the organism in Eukaryota, Viridiplantae, Streptophyta, Magnoliopsida, Myrtales, Myrtaceae. The transcript is spliced from 3 exons. The record is from RefSeq and is a predicted model, not a curated record.